GUUGACCUAGUAUAUCAAGUAUGUGUGACUUCCAAUCACGAGGACCAUUAAGACGUGGGGUGAACA
This 66-nucleotide transfer RNA is filed under the name Eudohrnia metallica. RNAcentral describes it as "tRNA-Gly". The record is from RNAcentral. Lineage: Eukaryota; Metazoa; Arthropoda; Insecta; Dermaptera; Forficulidae.